GUGUCAGCCGCCGCGGUAAGACAGAGGGGGCAAGCGUUGUCCGGACUUACUGGGCGUAAAGGGCGCGUAGGUGGUCGUGCACGUCGGCGGUGAAAUCGCCCGGCUUAACCGGGCAGGGUCUGCCGAUACGGCGCGACUAGAGGUUUCCAGAGGGUGGUGGAAUUCCCGGUGUAGUAGUGAUAUGCGUAGAACUCGGGAGGAACACCCGUGACGAAGGUAGCCACCUGGGGAAGACCUGACACUGAGGCGCGACAGCGUGGGGAGCGAACCGAAUUAGAAACCCGUGUAGUCC
This 292-nucleotide ribosomal RNA is filed under the name uncultured bacterium. RNAcentral's name for it is "partial 16S ribosomal RNA". It matches the Rfam family "Bacterial small subunit ribosomal RNA", at positions 505 to 796 of the family's 1533-position model. The record is from RNAcentral.